RNAcentral lists this transfer RNA (71 nucleotides) under Marmota monax (woodchuck). It matches the Rfam family "tRNA". From Rfam's summary of the family: Transfer RNA (tRNA) molecules are approximately 80 nucleotides in length. The record is from Rfam by way of RNAcentral. Lineage: Eukaryota; Metazoa; Chordata; Mammalia; Rodentia; Sciuridae.
GCUGGUGUAGCUGAGUGGUAGAGCACUUGCCUAACAUGUUUGAGGCACUGAGUUCAAUCCUCAGCACCACA